This 1535-nucleotide ribosomal RNA is filed under the name metagenome. Its description in RNAcentral is "bacterial SSU rRNA". It matches the Rfam family "Bacterial small subunit ribosomal RNA". The record is from RNAcentral.
GGGUUUGAUCCUGGCUCAGGAUGAACGCUGGCGGCGUGCUUAAUACAUGCAAGUCGAACGGACCGGCUAGGGGCUAACGUUCUGAAAGUUAUGGCGGGUAAGAAAUUGCUCAAAGUGACGGAAGGGAUAGAGGCUUCGGUGCUGGUUAGUGGCGGACGGGUGAGUAACACGUGGGUAAUCUGCCCCAAAGUGGGGAACAACUGUUCGAAAGAGCAGCUAAUUCCGCAUGUGCUCUUGCGCGAGAGGAGACUCUCGCGAGAGAGGAAAGGUUUUCGGAUCGCUUUGGGAUGAGCUCGCGGCCGAUUAGCUAGUUGGUGGGGUAAAGGCCUACCAAGGCGAUGAUCGGUAGCUGGUCUGAGAGGAUGAUCAGCCACACUGGGACUGAGACACGGCCCAGACUCCUACGGGAGGCAGCAGUAAGGAAUAUCGCACAAUGGGGGAAACCCUGAUGCAGCAACGCCGCGUGGGCGAUGAAGGCCUUCGGGUUGUAAAGCCCUUUUCUGUGGGAAGAGACAAGGACGGUACCACAGGAACAAGUCUCGGCUAACUACGUGCCAGCAGCCGCGGUAAAACGUAGGAGGCGAGCGUUAUCCGGAUUUACUGGGCGUAAAGGGCAAGUAGGCGGUAGCCAAAGUUGGGUGUGAAAUCUCCUGGCUUAACUAGGAGGGGGCGCUCAAAACUAGGUUACUAGAGGGCAGAAGAGGGGGGUGGAACUCCUAGUGUAGCGGUGGAAUGCUCAGAUAUUAGGAAGAACACCAGUGGCGAAGGCGACCCCCUGGUCUGUGCCUGACGCUGAGAGGCGAAAGCUAGGGUAGCAAACGGGCUUAGAUACCCCGGUAGUCCUAGCUGUAAACGUUGGAUACUAGGUAUUGGGGGUGAUAAACUCCCUCAGUGCCGAAGCAAACGCGUUAAGUAUCCCGCCUGGGGACUACGGCCGCAAGGUUAAAAACUCAAAGGAAUUGACGGGAGCCCGCACAAGCAGCGGAGCGUGUGGUUUAAUUCGAUGAUACACGAAGAACCUUACCUGGGUUUGACAUAUACGUAGUAGCGACCCGAAAGGGGAGCGAGCCUUCGGGCAGCGUAUACAGGUGCUGCAUGGCUGUCGUCAGCUCGUGCCGUGAGGUGUCGGGUUAAGUCCCGCAACGAGCGCAACCCUCGUUGCUAGUUAUACUUUACUAGCGAGACUGCCGGCAUAUAACCGGAGGAAGGUGGGGAUGACGUCAAGUCAGCAUGGCCUUUAUAUCCAGGGCUACACACACGCUACAAUGGUCGGUACAAAGGGUCGCGAAGCCGUGAGGCGGAGCCAAUCUCAGAAAGCCGGCCCCAGUUCAGAUUGCAGGCUGCAACCCGCCUGCAUGAAGUUGGAGUUGCUAGUAACCGCAGGUCAGCAAUACUGCGGUGAAUACGUUCCCGGGCUUUGUACACACCGCCCGUCACGUCAUGGGAGCUGGCAAUACCUGAAGUCGGUGAGCUAACUGUAAAGGGGCAACUGCCGAAGGUAGGGCUAGUGACUGGGACGAAGUCGUAACAAGGUA